ACAGCUCUUAGAGGAGUUGCAGGUAUGGCUGCUGUGUCACAUGCACACCAGUAGGUGGCAGAGAGGAGAGAGGUUAUGUCUACCCACAAUGUUCUGACCUAGAAAUAUCUGAAUGAUUAGUAGCCUAACAUU
Molecule: small nucleolar RNA, 132 nt
Organism: Arvicanthis niloticus (Nile rat)
Lineage: Eukaryota; Metazoa; Chordata; Mammalia; Rodentia; Muridae
Product: small nucleolar RNA SNORA17
Source: RefSeq, a predicted model, not a curated record